GGGCCCGCACAAGCGGUGGAGCAUGUGGUUUAAUUCGAUGCAACGCGAAGAACCUUACCAGCCCUUGACAUCAUCAGAACUUGUUAGAGAUAACUCGGUGCCUUCGGGAACUGGUUGACAGGUGCUGCAUGGCUGUCGUCAGCUCGUGUCGUGAGAUGUUGGGUUAAGUCCCGCAACGAGCGCAACCCUUAUCCUUAGUUGCCAGCACAUAAUGGUGGGGACUCUAAGGAGACUGCCGGUGACAAGCCGGAGGAAGGCGGGGACGACGUCAAGUCAUCAUGGCCCUUACGGGUAGGGCUACACACGUGCUACAAUGGUCGGUACAGAGGGUUGCCAAGUCGCGAGGCGGAGCUAAUCUCAGAAAGCCGGUCAUAGUCCGGAUUGCAGUCUGCAACUCGACUGCAUGAAAGUCGGAAUCGCUAGUAA
RNAcentral lists this ribosomal RNA (426 nucleotides) under uncultured bacterium. Its description in RNAcentral is "bacterial SSU rRNA". It matches the Rfam family "Bacterial small subunit ribosomal RNA", at positions 917 to 1341 of the family's 1533-position model. The record is from RNAcentral.